GAAGGUAAAGCUCAAGUGGUAGAGCACAUGCCUAGCAUACACAAGGUCCUGGGUUCAAUCCCCAGCACCUCCU
Molecule: transfer RNA, 73 nt
Filed under: Camelus bactrianus (Bactrian camel)
Lineage: Eukaryota; Metazoa; Chordata; Mammalia; Artiodactyla; Camelidae
Also listed under: 1 other name
Rfam family: tRNA
About the family: Transfer RNA (tRNA) molecules are approximately 80 nucleotides in length. Their secondary structure includes four short double-helical elements and three loops (D, anti-codon, and T loops). Further hydrogen bonds mediate the characteristic L-shaped molecular structure. tRNAs have two regions of fundamental functional importance: the anti-codon, which is responsible for specific mRNA codon recognition, and the 3' end, to which the tRNAs corresponding amino acid is attached (by aminoacyl-tRNA synthetases). tRNAs cope with the degeneracy of the genetic code in two manners: having more than one tRNA (with a specific anti-codon) for a particular amino acid; and 'wobble' base-pairing, i.e. permitting non-standard base-pairing at the 3rd anti-codon position.
Source: Rfam by way of RNAcentral